AUUGAACGCUGGCGGCAGGCCUAACACAUGCAAGUCGAACGGUAACAGGAAGCAGCUUGCUGCUUCGCUGACGAGUGGCGGACGGGUGAGUAAUGUCUGGGAAGCUGCCUGAUGGAGGGGGAUAACUACUGGAAACGGUAGCUAAUACCGCAUAAUGUCGCAAGAUCAAAGAGGGGGACCUUCGGGCCUCUUGCCAUCGGAUGUGCCCAGAUGGGAUUAGCUUGUUGGUGGGGUAACGGCUCACCAAGGCGACGAUCCCUAGCUGGUCUGAGAGGAUGACCAGCCACACUGGAACUGAGACACGGUCCAGACUCCUACGGGAGGCAGCAGUGGGGAAUAUUGCACAAUGGGCGCAAGCCUGAUGCAGCCAUGCCGCGUGUAUGAAGAAGGCCUUCGGGUUGUAAAGUACUUUCAGCGGGGAGGAGGGGAGUAAAGUUAAUACCUUUGCUCAUUGACGUUACCCGCAGAAGAAGCACCGGCUAACUCCGUG
Molecule: ribosomal RNA, 490 nt
Filed under: uncultured bacterium
Lineage: Bacteria
Description: partial 16S ribosomal RNA
Rfam family: Bacterial small subunit ribosomal RNA
Source: RNAcentral